RNAcentral lists this ribosomal RNA (506 nucleotides) under uncultured bacterium. Its description in RNAcentral is "partial 16S ribosomal RNA". It matches the Rfam family "Bacterial small subunit ribosomal RNA", at positions 29 to 523 of the family's 1533-position model. The record is from RNAcentral.
AGUGAACGCUGGCGGUAGGCCUAACACAUGCAAGUCGAACGGCAGCACAGGAGAGCUUGCUCUCUGGGUGGCGAGUGGCGGACGGGUGAGGAAUACAUCGGAAUCUACUCUGUCGUGGGGGAUAACGUAGGGAAACUUACGCUAAUACCGCAUACGACCUACGGGUGAAAGCAGGGGACCUUCGGGCCUUGCGCGAUUGAAUGAGCCGAUGUCGGAUUAGCUAGUUGGCGGGGUAAAGGCCCGCCAAGGCGACGAUCCGUAGCUGGUCUGAGAGGAUGAUCAGCCACACUGGAACUGAGACACGGUCCAGACUCCUACGGGAGUCAGCAGUGGGGAAUAUUGGACAAUGGGCGCAAGCCUGAUCCAGCCAUACCGCGUGGGUGAAGAAGGCCUUCGGGUUGUAAAGCCCUUUUGUUGGGAAAGAAAUCCAGCUGGCUAAUACCCGGUUGGGAUGACGGUACCCAAAGAAUAAGCACCGGCUAACUUCGUGCCAGCCGCCGCGGUAA